UGCAGGAACUUGUGAGUCU
RNAcentral lists this microRNA (19 nucleotides) under Capra hircus (goat). RNAcentral's name for it is "chi-miR-873-5p". Its record names the gene chi-miR-873-5p. The record is from miRBase by way of RNAcentral. Lineage: Eukaryota; Metazoa; Chordata; Mammalia; Artiodactyla; Bovidae.